CCUACGGGAGGCAGCAGUGAGGAAUAUUGGUCAAUGGACGAGAGUCUGAACCAGCCAAGUAGCGUGAAGGAUGACUGCCCUAUGGGUUGUAAACUUCUUUUAUAUGGGAAUAAAACAGGGUAUGCAUACCCUCUUGUAUGUACCAUAUGAAUAAGGAUCGGCUAACUCCGUGCCCGAAGCCGCGGUAAUACGGAGGAGCCGGGCGUUAUCCGGAUUUAUUGGGUUUAAAGGGAGCGUAGGUGGAUUGUUAAGUCAGUUGUGAAAGUUUGCGGCUCAACCGUAAAAUUGCAGUUGAAACUGGCAGGCUUGAGUACAGUAGAGGUGGGCGGAAUUCGGGGUGUAGCGGUGAAAUGCUUAGAUAUCACGAAGAACUCCGAUUGCGAAGGCAGCUCACUGGACUGCAACUGACACUGAUGCUCGAAAGUGUGGGUAUCAAACAGGAUUAGAUACCCGGGUAGUC
This 460-nucleotide ribosomal RNA is filed under the name uncultured bacterium. RNAcentral's name for it is "partial 16S ribosomal RNA". It matches the Rfam family "Bacterial small subunit ribosomal RNA", at positions 338 to 795 of the family's 1533-position model. The record is from RNAcentral.